AUGUGAUCGUCUCUCGCAUAUCAAUAAGCGGAGGAAAAGAAACUAACAAGGAUUCCCCUAGUAACGGCGAGUGAAGCGGGAAGAGCUCAAAUUUGAAAUCUUAAAGGGUUUCCCUUUACGAAUUGUAGUUUAAAGAAGUGUUUUCUGUUGAGGUUUUGGUAAAAGUUCUUUGGAAUAGGACAUCAUAGAGGGUGAGAAUCCCGUAUUUGACCUUUACUUUCAACUUUGUGAUACACUUUCAAAGAGUCGGAUUGUUUGGGAAUGCAGUCCAAAAUGGGUGGUAAAUUUCAUCUAAAGCUAAAUAUUGGCGAGAGACCGAUAGCGAACAAGUACCGUGAGGGAAAGAUGAAAAGAACUUUGAAAAGAGAGUUAAACAGUACGUGAAAUUGUCAAAAGGGAAGCGUUUGACACCAGUGUUAUUUUUCUGAAAAUCAAUUAAAGAACUGUUUAUGCUAAGUUGUUUAGACUUUAUCAGCUAACUGUUUAGUUUUGAGCUUUUCUUUAAUGCACUUUUCAGUUAACAAGUCAACAUCAAUUUCUUUUGCUGUAAAAAAGCUUGAGGAAGGUGGCUUGAGAUUCGUCUUAAGUGUUUAUAGCCUCUUGCCUAUGCAGUCGGAGAGAUUGAGGUCUGCAGCGUAGAUCCUUCGGGGCUAAAUGCAUUUGUGCUAAGUUAUAGCAUUUUAUAGACAACUUGUUGACUAUGAUUUGUCUUGUAGCUUACUCGCUUAUGUUAUUUUACCUACGCUUAGGAUGUUGAUCUACAGAGCGAGAGU
RNAcentral lists this ribosomal RNA (773 nucleotides) under uncultured Neocallimastigales. RNAcentral describes it as "partial large subunit ribosomal RNA". It matches the Rfam family "Eukaryotic large subunit ribosomal RNA", at positions 24 to 631 of the family's 3401-position model. Lineage: Eukaryota; Fungi; Neocallimastigomycota; Neocallimastigomycetes; Neocallimastigales. The record is from RNAcentral.